Molecule: long non-coding RNA, 627 nt
Filed under: Pan troglodytes (chimpanzee)
Lineage: Eukaryota; Metazoa; Chordata; Mammalia; Primates; Hominidae
Description: lincRNA
Source: RNAcentral
AAAGAUCCUGGAAGGUGCCAGCAAGUGAGGUUAGGUUUCCCACUGUAGAUGUAAUGGAAACAUGGUUUCCCCACCAACUUCGAGGCUUGAGAGCAUUCAGAAAAAGUUUGGUCAACCUUGUAGGGGAACCAGCCCGCUAUACCACCCGUGGGUUCUCCCCUUCCCAGUGGAGACGAGGGAAUGAGAAAAGAAAGACAAACACACAAAGUUCAAGAGUUAACAAAAGUGGGUCCAGGGGUCCAUCGCAAUGUGGAAACUGCGACAGCCCUGAGCUCUGGAUUCCACUGAUAUUUACUGAAUAAUCGUUAAAGUCCAACUAAGUGGUUAACAGAACAGGACGUGAAAGCAGACAGCCCGUCAGACCACAGGCCUGUGCAUCAAAGGAGCGGUCCACUCCAAGCACCAUCAGCAGAGCAGCAGAGCUCUCUGCCUCUGGGAACGAGCGAGAGAUAGAAGACUUUCUCCUUAUCCUCAGAGGACUUCUCUUUUACAAGCAGCCUCCUGCUGUUCCCUUCUGGGGAAUGGAGCAGGGGUCGCUUCCCUUCCCAUGAGACCUUUGUUCAGGGACUCAAGUGGGAGGUUGAGCAAUAAGCAAGCUUUCUUGCUUACAGGCUCCGCACACUUCCU